GACGAACGCUGGCGGCGUGCUUAACACAUGCAAGUCGAACGGAAAGGCCCUGCUUGCAGGGUACUCGAGUGGCGAACGGGUGAGUAACACGUGGGUGAUCUGCCCUGCACUUCGGGAUAAGCCUGGGAAACUGGGUCUAAUACCGGAUAGGAGCCAUUUUUAGUGUGAUGGUUGGAAAGUUUUUUCGGUGUAGGAUGAGCUCGCUGCCUAUCAGCUUGUUGGUGGGGUAAUGGCCUACCAAGGCGGCGACGGGUAGCCGGCCUGAGAGGGUGGACGGCCACAAUGGGACUGAGAUACGGCCCAGACUCCUACGGGAGGCAGCAGGGGGGAAUAUUGCACAAUGGGCGCAAGCCGGAUGCAGCGACGCCGCGUGGGGGAUGACGGCCUUCGGGUUGUAAACUCCUUUCGCUAGGGACGAAGCUUUUUGUGACGGUACCUAGAUAAGAAGCACCGGCUAACUACGUG
This 465-nucleotide ribosomal RNA is filed under the name uncultured bacterium. RNAcentral's name for it is "partial 16S ribosomal RNA". It matches the Rfam family "Bacterial small subunit ribosomal RNA", at positions 28 to 507 of the family's 1533-position model. The record is from RNAcentral.